GCUCAGUGCCCAUCCCUGGGUUUCAUCUCUAGUACUUAAAAAAAAAAAAAAAUACAGUACACAUUGUAAGUGCAGUGUUGUGUAGCAAAUCUCAGGAAUUGAAUCAUCUUGCAUAACUGAAACUUUACACCUGUGGCUAGACUUUGGAUUUGCUGAAUGGAAGGUCAGCUUUACAGCGAGGUUACUGAGGGCAGGGGAGGAACUCUGUGUUCCUCUGUUCCAGAGGGCAAACCUGAUUAUGUAAGCAUUUUCCUGGGGGUUUUCCUCGCUCGUUCCCUCAGAGGAGGCUGCCCUGACCUCGGCCCUACAGCCUGAGGUUGACAGCACAGGAGCUGAGGCUUCGGGGUUCAGGGCUGCCCAGCUCCAACACCUCAGGGCCAAGUGCCACCUGCAGUGCAGCAGCCCUCGGAAUCAUCCUAUUGUGGCUGUGAUUCCUAGCCGUGGCCAACAGGUGGCAGUGCUGUCCGUGCCAUGAGACAGCUCACGCUUCCACAGCCUGGUUUCUGGUCUCGGAUUCCAGCCAUCCCAGCAGUACGCAGCACCACAGAAAGAGGCCAGGCACUGCCUGGCUCCACCCACCCCCAACAAUCCUCAUCUGCCUUCAGCUGGAAAGCACUGACACAUCUGAGGCAGCAGGCAGGUCAGCAGCGAGGCCAUUAAGCUGAGAAAACACCAAGUUACAGCGCAGUCUCCUGCUCACGCCAGGUGUCCUGACAAGCAAUUCUCGCCUUGCGGGUGAGUGGCACCUCUAUAAACCCUCUGACAGUUUAGGAGACAAACUCCGCCAUCAAUCAGAAUGUAGCUAUCAGGUUCACUUACAGCCUGCACCCCAGAGCCUGCCAACCCCCCUCUCCCAAGUACAUACUGCUCAGCAGCCAGCUUCACAUCCUCUGCUUAGCCUGGUCCUGCCCUGCCUUGCCUUGCCCUGCCCUGCCCUGCCCUGCCCUUUGAGUGGGCAGAAAAGAAAUCAGAAAACCCUGGGACUACUCCUGAGCCCAGUACGGCUCCCUUGGAGAAGCAGACAAAACAGGGCAGCCACAGCUGCCAGGAAAGUCCCAACAUACCAAGCCUAAGUCCUUUCCUCUGCAGUCUCACUGCUUACCCUGGUGAGACCAAGACUCUUGUUUUUUGAGGCAAGGUCUCUCUAUGUAGCUCAGGCUGGCCUAGGAACUAGCUGUGAUCUUCCUGCCUCAGCCUCCUGAUUGCUGAAAUUAUAGGAGGGCACCAUAGCACCCAGCCAGACCAGGACACGUGCUUUAGUUACCGUGGUCUCCCAAAUCCUACAUGCUUUAUGCCCCUGCCUUUGUACCUCCUGUCACAUCUAGAAUCUUUCCCCUGCUGGUCUACAAAACCAGUGCCUACCCAUUUGGCAGGUCUGGCUCAGCUCAACCCUUCUGCCAUAACUCAUAGUGCUGGAAGGAAGGACACCUCACCUCUGACAUUCUUUGAACCUUUAUGAAGUGCAGCCUCUGGCUUCCUGUGGAGAACAGACUUGCAAGGUCUGCUUGCAAGACCUCAGCCCAACACUAAAGGUCUGCUUCCCUUCCCUCGGCCAGGUGUGCCGCAGUUUGUAUCACUGAAAGCUCUAAAAGGUCUGCCGUCACUGCCCCAGGUGCUUUGAGGGGUGGACACAACUUCCCCAGCUCUGGGAGUAACAGGCAAGCUGCCACCUCUGCUGCUGCUGUCCAGGGAAGGAACUUGGUCCCCAGGGCCUCCAAGAUGGCUCCAAGAACCCCUCUGGACUCCAACAGUAAGAGGCCCCCUUGCUAUGGUUCUGUCCCACCUGAAAGUGGCAAAAAGGGUGGGUCGCCACCAACAGGUAAACCAAGGCUGACAGUCAACAACGCCCAACAGAGUGGGUGCUGGAGUCACCCUGUCCUGGGUGGACGGACACUGCAAAAAUCUCUUCCUCCUGGCAAUACUUAGCAAUAGAGAGGAAGAGUUAAGUGCAGAAAUGAUAUGUAAGUCUAAAUUUUACGAAAAUGACCAUUCUCCCAUAAGCUCAUUUCUUCCUAGGUCACCAAGGGGGGUGGGGAAUCUGUAUUAAUUUGAUCGAUUGAUCAAAUGAUCGAUUGAGAAACUGGAGAUGCCCAUUUACUGGGGGCAGUAAUGUCCUGGAACCUGAAACCACAAGAAAGGAGCCAUCAAUUUCCUCACCUGCUCCCAAACCGAACCAGAGACCAGGAAGAAAGGCAAGUCUGGGGCUCACGCUCACCAACAGGGAGGGCAGGCUCACGCUCACCAACAGGGAGGGCAGGGGCAGCAGCUUCCGGGGAGUUUUACACUGGAAUUAGUUACAGAUGCAGUUACGGUGUCUUGUGUAAACGCCAUCGAUUGGGGAGCUGACAGUCUGGGGAGCUGCGAUGCGGGACAAUCAAUCGGCCUGCAGUGUCACCUGCCACCUCGCUGAACAGUUGACAAUGCAAUUAUCCAGUGUGGAGGCAGGGAGUUGGCGUGUGUCAAACGCACUUAGCCACUUUCCGGGCCUCCUCAAUAACGCGUUUCACUGCCUCACGUCAGGAGAGACGCACAGAGACAGACGCCGUUUAAAACCAUUGAUACUUGCUCCUUCUGCCUGCGCGCCCUCUGUCCCAGCUUAACAAUUGUGUUCCAGAGGCGAUUAAAUCCAGUUCCUUGCCACAGGGGACGGAAGGCACCUUGCUCCUUGUACCUCAUCUCUCACCCCAGCUACCAGGCGACAGGCAUAACUGAAGGUUGUGGGGAACGAGAGGCUGCCACCCCUUACCUUCUUCUCUACCCCACGCUUGCCUCUAGUGGUGCGUUGUUCCAACAAGUCACUGACAGAACCAAGCUGCAGAGCUGCGUGGGGACAUCUUGGCACUGAGGUUCCUAUCUUUUGAGAACCAACACGCCAAAGGAAGCAGCAGUAGGGGUGAGGUCCACACACCUGAGCCUUUACCUCUCAGCCACUUGGCAUGUACUCUGGUGCUGAAGUCUCAUCAACAGCUCACUACAAGAGCAUCACCAAAGCUGCCUGCCUGCCGCUCUCUCCAUGAUCUCUCAUUCUAGGGUACUUCGGAACCACUCUAAUCUGAGACAGGAACUCGAGAAAGAUGCGGUCCCUAAACCAGGAUCUGGCAGAGCAGAAGCCCUGCAUAGCCGAAUGUCUUCGCAUUCUUCUCCUCCCCACUGCACCUAUGUCAAAGGGGCUUCUUGCUGGAUUUCAGCAGUGAAUUCACCUACGGUUUAAAAACAGAGCUGCAGACAUCUUACACUUCUUGUGCAGCCUCCUGGAAACCCCUCUACCUCACCACUCUCAUGCCCGUAAUAUUACUGCCACUUUAUUUGAAACCAGUCGUUCCCACAUCCUUUCUCCAGUCUGUCUCUUCCAGAUGUAAUAAGCUCUGGGUUCCCCAAGUCCAGCUGGGUGAGCUCCCACUGGGAACCAAAACAAGGGAAGCCUCACAGGUCUCUUCUGCAGGAGCAGUGGAGGUAGCAGGCAGAGAAAAGGCGUACCAUGACAUGUUCAUCACCUUUGUCCUUUGAUUGUGGGUAGGGACAGGUUUGGCUCCAGGGCAGGUUUCCUGCAGCAUGCUUUUCUAGCCUGGGAAAAGCCUGUUCUGCACAGGUUUAGCAGGGUGCCCCAGAAGACCAUCUUUUUCUCCUAUACUGCUGAUCUCUUUCAGGUGAAGGACUAGGUUUUGUGUGCUAACCUCUUUGCAAACAGCACUAGAGGUUAGAAACCUUUGGGUUCUGAAAGGAGAGUCAGCAGAUUAGGCAUGAAGCCUAGGGAUUUCUCCUAAAACUGUGGACAGGUUUCCUUUAUAACAAAAGCUUCUUCCAACUUAGUUCAUAAAAUUUUUACCUAUUUCCUUGGGUCUUUUAAAAAAUACCUACUUCCAGUUGAGCCUAACUUCCUCUUCUGUCUGGUCUUUCACACUGUCCUAAAAUACCAAUUCCAAGCACUUCUAGGCCUGAUGUCUGGGCCUCAUCCUCAGUAACCAUAGGUCUCUGACCUGAAGGCCCGUUGCCUCAGCCAAGUGUCUCCACCAAAACACUUGCUUACCCACCGCUUCCCACAGAAGGUCACAUUCAGGGCAACCCAUCUGACCCAUCAGAUGGGCUCUCCCAGUAGGCCUGCUGGGAAGCUUUUCUGAGGAUGAAGAACAGGUCCCAGUCCAGGACGAGGGACAGAGGAUGAUCGGAUACAACAACUUAUCUGCAGUUCUUCAAUCCUUUCAUAUCUAACAAGGACAGCAAUCUCUGUUC
Long non-coding RNA from Chinchilla lanigera (long-tailed chinchilla), 4230 nucleotides. RefSeq lists it as uncharacterized. Lineage: Eukaryota; Metazoa; Chordata; Mammalia; Rodentia; Chinchillidae. The transcript has 4 exons. The record is from RefSeq and is a predicted model, not a curated record.